RNAcentral lists this ribosomal RNA (403 nucleotides) under uncultured bacterium. RNAcentral's name for it is "partial 16S ribosomal RNA". It matches the Rfam family "Bacterial small subunit ribosomal RNA", at positions 28 to 526 of the family's 1533-position model. The record is from RNAcentral.
GACGAACGCUGGCGGCGUGCCUAAUACAUGCAAGUCGAACGCAGUGGGGACGGGUGAGUAACACGUGGGUAACCUCCCAUCAGAGGGGAUAACACUUGGAAACAGGUGCUAAAACGAUACUGCUGGAUGGACCCUCGGUGCAUUAGCUAGUGGGUGGGGUGCCGGCUCACCAAGGCCACGAUGCAUAGCCGACCUGAGAGGGUGAUAGGGUACACCAGAACGGAGACCCGGCCCAGACUCGUACGGGAGGGAACAGUAGGGAAUGUGCGGCAAUGGAAGAAAGUCUGACCGAGCAACGCCGCGUGAGUGGAGAAGGUUUGCGGAUCGGAGAACUCUGUUGUUAUAGAAGCGGUAUCUAACAAGAAAGCCACGGCUAACUACGUGCCAGCAGCCGCGGUAAUUC